Molecule: ribosomal RNA, 221 nt
Filed under: Theileria annulata
Lineage: Eukaryota; Apicomplexa; Aconoidasida; Piroplasmida; Theileriidae
Description: partial small subunit ribosomal RNA
Rfam family: Eukaryotic small subunit ribosomal RNA
Source: RNAcentral
UUUGUCUGAAUGUUUACUUUGAGAAAAUUAGAGUGCUCAAAGCAGGCUUUCGCCUUGAAUAGUUUAGCAUGGAAUAAUAAAGUAGGACUUUGGUUCUAUUUUGUUGGUUUUAGGUACCAAAGUAAUGGUUAAUAGGAACAGUUGGGGGCAUUCGUAUUUAACUGUCAGAGGUGAAAUUCUUAGAUUUGUUAAAGACGAACUACUGCGAAAGCAUUUGCCAA